This 577-nucleotide ribosomal RNA is filed under the name uncultured bacterium. Its description in RNAcentral is "bacterial SSU rRNA". It matches the Rfam family "Bacterial small subunit ribosomal RNA", at positions 338 to 916 of the family's 1533-position model. The record is from RNAcentral.
CCUACGGGAGGCAGCAGUAAGGAAUAUUGGUCAAUGGACGCAAGUCUGAACCAGCCAUGCCGCGUGAAGGAUGAAGGUCCUCUGGAUUGUAAACUUCUUUUAUUUGGGACGAAAAAAGGGUUUUCUAACUCACUUGACGGUACCAGAUGAAUAAGCACCGGCUAACUCCGUGCCAGCAGCCGCGGUAAUACGGAGGGUGCAAGCGUUAUCCGGAUUCACUGGGUUUAAAGGGUGCGUAGGCGGGUAUGUAAGUCAGCGGUGAAAUCCCCGAGCUUAACUUGGGAACUGCCGUUGAUACUAUAUAUCUUGAAUGUUGUGGAGGUUAGCGGAAUAUGUCAUGUAGCGGUGAAAUGCUUAGAUAUGACAUAGAACACCCAUUGCGAAGGCAGCUAACUACGCAAAUAUUGACGCUGAGGCACGAAAGCGUGGGGAUCAAACAGGAUUAGAUACCCUGGUAGUCCACGCCCUAAACGAUGAUUACUCGACAUUGGCGAUACACAGUCAGUGUCUGAGCGAAAGCAUUAAGUAAUCCACCUGGAAGUACGAUCGCAAGAUUGAAACUCAAAGGAAUUGACGG